CUGCUGCGGUUAAAAAGCUCGUAGUUGGAUCUCAGUUGCGGGCGGGUGGUGCAUCUACCCGAUGUGACAGCCCGAUCUGAACAUCUUGCCUUCUAUCCUCUGGUGUCCUUCACUGGAUGCCUUUGGGUGGUCGGUGCAUUUACUUUGAAAAAAUUGGAGUGCUCAACGCAGGCGAAGUGCCUGAACACUUAUGCAUGGAAUAAUAGAACAAGACCCCGUUUCUGUUCUGUUGGUUUUUGGAAAACGAGGUAAUGAUCAAGAGGGACUGACGGGGGCAUUCGUAUUGCGGCGCUAGAGGUGAAAUUCUUGGACCGUCGCAAGACGAACUACAGCGAAAGCAUUUGCCAAGAAUGUUUUCAUUGAUCAAGAACGAAAGUUAGAGGUUCGAAGGCGAUCAGAUACCGCCCUAGUUCUAACCAUAAACGAUGCCAACCAGCAAUCCGCCUGAGUUACUCCAAUGACUCUGCGGGCAGCUUCCGGGAAACCAAAGUAUUUGGGUUCCGGGGGAAGUAUGGUUGCAAAGCUGAAA
Molecule: ribosomal RNA, 529 nt
Filed under: Alectorobius capensis
Lineage: Eukaryota; Metazoa; Arthropoda; Arachnida; Ixodida; Argasidae
Description: SSU rRNA
Rfam family: Eukaryotic small subunit ribosomal RNA
Source: RNAcentral